CCUACGGGGGGCUGCAGUGGGGAAUAUUGGACAAUGGGGGCAACCCUGAUCCAGCCAUGCCGCGUGUGUGAAGAAGGCCCUCGGGUUGUAAAGCACUUUCAGUGAGGAAGAACGCCUGGUGGUUAAUACCCAUCAGGAAAGACAUCACUCACAGAAGAAGCACCGGCUAACUCCGUGCCAGCAGCCGCGGUAAUACGGAGGGUGCGAGCGUUAAUCGGAAUUACUGGGCGUAAAGCGCGCGUAGGUGGCUUGAUAAGCCGGUUGUGAAAGCCCCGGGCUCAACCUGGGAACGGCAUCCGGAACUGUCAAGCUAGAGUGCAGGAGAGGAAGGUAGAAUUGCCGGUGUAGCGGUGAAAUGCGUAGAGAUCGGGCGGAAUACCAGUGGCGAAGGCGGCCUUCUGGACUGACACUGACACUGAGGUGCGAAAGCGUGGGUAGCAAACAGGAUUAGAUACCCUAGUAGUC
RNAcentral lists this ribosomal RNA (465 nucleotides) under Vreelandella stevensii. Its description in RNAcentral is "partial 16S ribosomal RNA". It matches the Rfam family "Bacterial small subunit ribosomal RNA", at positions 338 to 795 of the family's 1533-position model. Lineage: Bacteria; Pseudomonadati; Pseudomonadota; Gammaproteobacteria; Oceanospirillales; Halomonadaceae. The record is from RNAcentral.